RNAcentral lists this ribosomal RNA (2789 nucleotides) under Escherichia coli. RNAcentral describes it as "bacterial LSU rRNA". It matches the Rfam family "Bacterial large subunit ribosomal RNA". Lineage: Bacteria; Pseudomonadati; Pseudomonadota; Gammaproteobacteria; Enterobacterales; Enterobacteriaceae. The record is from RNAcentral.
AGCGUACACGGUGGAUGCCCUGGCAGUCAGAGGCGAUGAAGGACGUGCUAAUCUGCGAUAAGCGUCGGUAAGGUGAUAUGAACCGUUAUAACCGGCGAUUUCCGAAUGGGGAAACCCAGUGUGAUUCGUCACACUAUCAUUAACUGAAUCCAUAGGUUAAUGAGGCGAACCGGGGGAACUGAAACAUCUAAGUACCCCGAGGAAAAGAAAUCAACCGAGAUUCCCCCAGUAGCGGCGAGCGAACGGGGAGCAGCCCAGAGCCUGAAUCAGUGUGUGUGUUAGUGGAAGCGUCUGGAAAGGCGCGCGAUACAGGGUGACAGCCCCGUACACAAAAAUGCACAUGCUGUGAGCUCGAUGAGUAGGGCGGGACACGUGGUAUCCUGUCUGAAUAUGGGGGGACCAUCCUCCAAGGCUAAAUACUCCUGACUGACCGAUAGUGAACCAGUACCGUGAGGGAAAGGCGAAAAGAACCCCGGCGAGGGGAGUGAAAAAGAACCUGAAACCGUGUACGUACAAGCAGUGGGAGCACAGAGCAAUCUGUGUGACUGCGUACCUUUUGUAUAAUGGGUCAGCGACUUAUAUUCUGUAGCAAGGUUAACCGAAUAGGGGAGCCGAAGGGAAACCGAGUCUUAACUGGGCGUUAAGUUGCAGGGUAUAGACCCGAAACCCGGUGAUCUAGCCAUGGGCAGGUUGAAGGUUGGGUAACACUAACUGGAGGACCGAACCGACUAAUGUUGAAAAAUUAGCGGAUGACUUGUGGCUGGGGGUGAAAGGCCAAUCAAACCGGGAGAUAGCUGGUUCUCCCCGAAAGCUAUUUAGGUAGCGCCUCGUGAAUUCAUCUCCGGGGGUAGAGCACUGUUUCGGCAAGGGGGUCAUCCCGACUUACCAACCCGAUGCAAACUGCGAAUACCGGAGAAUGUUAUCACGGGAGACACACGGCGGGUGCUAACGUCCGUCGUGAAGAGGGAAACAACCCAGACCGCCAGCUAAGGUCCCAAAGUCAUGGUUAAGUGGGAAACGAUGUGGGAAGGCCCAGACAGCCAGGAUGUUGGCUUAGAAGCAGCCAUCAUUUAAAGAAAGCGUAAUAGCUCACUGGUCGAGUCGGCCUGCGCGGAAGAUGUAACGGGGCUAAACCAUGCACCGAAGCUGCGGCAGCGACGCUUAUGCGUUGUUGGGUAGGGGAGCGUUCUGUAAGCCUGUGAAGGUGUACUGUGAGGUAUGCUGGAGGUAUCAGAAGUGCGAAUGCUGACAUAAGUAACGAUAAAGCGGGUGAAAAGCCCGCUCGCCGGAAGACCAAGGGUUCCUGUCCAACGUUAAUCGGGGCAGGGUGAGUCGACCCCUAAGGCGAGGCCGAAAGGCGUAGUCGAUGGGAAACAGGUUAAUAUUCCUGUACUUGGUGUUACUGCGAAGGGGGGACGGAGAAGGCUAUGUUGGCCGGGCGACGGUUGUCCCGGUUUAAGCGUGUAGGCUGGUUUUCCAGGCAAAUCCGGAAAAUCAAGGCUGAGGCGUGAUGACGAGGCACUACGGUGCUGAAGCAACAAAUGCCCUGCUUCCAGGAAAAGCCUCUAAGCAUCAGGUAACAUCAAAUCGUACCCCAAACCGACACAGGUGGUCAGGUAGAGAAUACCAAGGCGCUUGAGAGAACUCGGGUGAAGGAACUAGGCAAAAUGGUGCCGUAACUUCGGGAGAAGGCACGCUGAUAUGUAGGUGAAGUCCCUCGCGGAUGGAGCUGAAAUCAGUCGAAGAUACCAGCUGGCUGCAACUGUUUAUUAAAAACACAGCACUGUGCAAACACGAAAGUGGACGUAUACGGUGUGACGCCUGCCCGGUGCCGGAAGGUUAAUUGAUGGGGUUAGCGCAAGCGAAGCUCUUGAUCGAAGCCCCGGUAAACGGCGGCCGUAACUAUAACGGUCCUAAGGUAGCGAAAUUCCUUGUCGGGUAAGUUCCGACCUGCACGAAUGGCGUAAUGAUGGCCAGGCUGUCUCCACCCGAGACUCAGUGAAAUUGAACUCGCUGUGAAGAUGCAGUGUACCCGCGGCAAGACGGAAAGACCCCGUGAACCUUUACUAUAGCUUGACACUGAACAUUGAGCCUUGAUGUGUAGGAUAGGUGGGAGGCUUUGAAGUGUGGACGCCAGUCUGCAUGGAGCCGACCUUGAAAUACCACCCUUUAAUGUUUGAUGUUCUAACGUGGACCCGUAAUCCGGGUUGCGGACAGUGUCUGGUGGGUAGUUUGACUGGGGCGGUCUCCUCCUAAAGAGUAACGGAGGAGCACGAAGGUUGGCUAAUCCUGGUCGGACAUCAGGAGGUUAGUGCAAUGGCAUAAGCCAGCUUGACUGCGAGCGUGACGGCGCGAGCAGGUGCGAAAGCAGGUCAUAGUGAUCCGGUGGUUCUGAAUGGAAGGGCCAUCGCUCAACGGAUAAAAGGUACUCCGGGGAUAACAGGCUGAUACCGCCCAAGAGUUCAUAUCGACGGCGGUGUUUGGCACCUCGAUGUCGGCUCAUCACAUCCUGGGGCUGAAGUAGGUCCCAAGGGUAUGGCUGUUCGCCAUUUAAAGUGGUACGCGAGCUGGGUUUAGAACGUCGUGAGACAGUUCGGUCCCUAUCUGCCGUGGGCGCUGGAGAACUGAGGGGGGCUGCUCCUAGUACGAGAGGACCGGAGUGGACGCAUCACUGGUGUUCGGGUUGUCAUGCCAAUGGCACUGCCCGGUAGCUAAAUGCGGAAGAGAUAAGUGCUGAAAGCAUCUAAGCACGAAACUUGCCCCGAGAUGAGUUCUCCCUGACUCCUUGA